RNAcentral lists this unclassified non-coding RNA (229 nucleotides) under plant metagenome. RNAcentral describes it as "partial contains small subunit ribosomal RNA, internal transcribed spacer 1, and 5.8S ribosomal RNA". The record is from RNAcentral.
UCUCCGUAGGUGAACCUGCGGAGGGAUCAUUACAGAGUUCUCGCCCUCGCGGGUAGAUCUCCCACCCACUGUUAUCGUUACUGUGUUGCUUUGGCGGGCCGCCGGGCCCCGCUCGGCCGCCGGCUCCGGCUGGCGCGCGCCCGCCAGAGGCCCAGCAAACUCUGAAUGUUAGUGUCGUCUGAGUACUAUAUAAUAGGUAAAACUUUCAACAACGGAUCUCUUGGUUCUG